RNAcentral lists this small RNA (255 nucleotides) under Drosophila ananassae. RNAcentral describes it as "GF27010". The record is from RNAcentral. Lineage: Eukaryota; Metazoa; Arthropoda; Insecta; Diptera; Drosophilidae.
UCUUAUUUAACUAAACUUAUAACACAUAUAUUUGUAACAUUCUAGCUACUAAUAAUACUAAUUAUAAUUAGUGGGUAGAAUUACUAGAAUAAAGAAGAAAUUGUCGCAUUGUUUUUAUCGCAUUGUUUUGAUGUUUAUAAUCAACAAGGAGUGAUUUUUCCACCUACGACGACUUCAUUAGGGCCAUCCGGGAUGGAAUAAGGAGAGCCAAAAAUAAAAAUUAUAAGGAAAAAUCCAAAAAAAACAAAGAAAAUU